AACGAACGUUGGCGGCGUGGAUUAGGCAUGCAAGUCGCGCGAAUCCCCGCAAGGGGGGAAGCGGCGUAAGGGGCAGUAAGGCGUGGGUACCUACCCGGGGCUCGGGGAUAGCCCGUCGAGAGACGGGGUAAUAUCCGACGACGUCGCAAGACCAAAGCUCCGGCGGCCCCGGUGGGGCCCACGUGGUAUUAGCUAGUUGGUGGGGUGACGGCCCACCAAGGCGGAGAUGCCUAGCGGGUGUGAGAGCACGACCCGCGCCACUGGCACUGAGACACUGGCCAGACACCUACGGGUGGCUGCAGUCGAGGAUCUUCGGCAAUGGGGGCAACCCUGACCGAGCGACGCCGCGUGGGCGACGAAGGCCUUCGGGUUGUAAAGCCCUGUCGAGGGGGAGGAAAGCCCGAAAGGGUGUGACCCAUCCCUGGAGGAAGCACGGGCUAAGUUCGUGCCAGCCGCCGCAGUAAAAC
RNAcentral lists this ribosomal RNA (467 nucleotides) under uncultured bacterium. RNAcentral's name for it is "bacterial SSU rRNA". It matches the Rfam family "Bacterial small subunit ribosomal RNA", at positions 28 to 526 of the family's 1533-position model. The record is from RNAcentral.